UGGUCUGCAACUCGACCACACGAAGCUGGAAUCGCUAGUAAUCGCGAAUCAGCAUGUCGCGGUGAAUACGUUCCCGGGUCUUGUACACACCGCCCGUCACACCAUGGGAGUCAGCAACGCCCGAAGUCAGUGACCUAACCGAAAGGAAGGAGCUGCCGAAGGCGGGGCAGGUAACUGGGGUGAAGUCGUAACAAGGUAGC
Molecule: ribosomal RNA, 200 nt
Filed under: uncultured bacterium
Lineage: Bacteria
Description: partial 16S ribosomal RNA
Rfam family: Bacterial small subunit ribosomal RNA
Source: RNAcentral